GUGACCUCGGAUCAUGU
Molecule: ribosomal RNA, 17 nt
Filed under: Penicillium sp. s039
Lineage: Eukaryota; Fungi; Ascomycota; Eurotiomycetes; Eurotiales; Aspergillaceae
Description: partial 28S ribosomal RNA
Source: RNAcentral